Molecule: ribosomal RNA, 254 nt
Filed under: uncultured bacterium
Lineage: Bacteria
Description: partial 16S ribosomal RNA
Rfam family: Bacterial small subunit ribosomal RNA
Source: RNAcentral
UACGGGGGGAGCAAGCGUUGUUCGGAUUUACUGGGCGUAAAGGGCGCGUAGGCGGCCACCGCAAGUCGAUUGUGAAAUCUCCGGGCUUAACCCGGAAAGGUCAACCGAUACUGCGGGGCUAGAGUGCAGAAGGGGCAACUGGAAUUCUCGGUGUAGCGGUGAAAUGCGCAGAUAUCAGGAGGAACACCGGUGGCGAAGGCGGUUCUCUGGGCAUUACCUGACGCUGAGGAGCGAAAGCGUGGGGAGCGAACAGG